Molecule: ribosomal RNA, 534 nt
Filed under: Triticum aestivum (bread wheat)
Lineage: Eukaryota; Viridiplantae; Streptophyta; Magnoliopsida; Poales; Poaceae
Description: partial small subunit ribosomal RNA
Source: RNAcentral
AUGGUGUACGCGCUCGCGAAGCUGGACUCCAAACUCGACCAGCUAUCAGGGCGACUCGAGGAUGUGAAGCUGUCCCUUGGAGUCGACAUCGAUGAGCUGCGCGGGGAGAUGGCCGCGGACCGCGGCGCUGUGUCGUCGCCCGCAUCGCCAACUUCUCAAGGUCCCCCAUCCGCCACCACCAAGUUUGCGGUUCUGGCAAGCGGUACGGCGAGCCAGGAAGGGCUCCGACCGAAGGUGGAUCCACGGCCUCCGACGCCCAAGUACGUUCCACCACAAGCGAGAGGUAUGCAACAGGACCAGAUCGUGCUCAGGCAGCCGAAUCAGGCACCAGAAAUUUUUCGCCCCUUCGCCGAGGAUUCCUCUAGUUUCGCUCCUCGGAUCGAACUGCCCAAUUUCGAUGGAUCUAACCCCAAGUUGUGGCAGUCGCGAUGUGAGGACUACUUCAGAUUCUGGAACACACCAGCGCACCAGUGGAUUCCCUUCACCACCGCUCUGUUUGAAGGAACAGUUGCUCGCUGGCUGGAGUCCGUCUAG